GGAGCACAAACUAUUUAAAAAAUGUUUUUAUACGGGGAAACUAUUCGGAAACGGACUGCAAAUGCAUCACAGAUAAUUCAUUAGAUUGAUACUCAUGUUCGCAAUGAAAGUUGUCACAUACUAAAUGGAUUCAACUUUAUUUUACAUCAUAGUCUACAACCGUAUGAACAUCAAAAAGUUUUACAUUAUCCUUAUAAAGGUGUAAAAACCUUUGAACAGGAACAACAACCAACAGCUUUAUAAAAACUUAAGAGCUACGAGAAUAGGUAAGGUUUCAAAAUUUUGAUAAAGAAUUAGCAAAGUGAAGCAAACGUGUAAUUAAACACUAAACAUAAGGAGGAUACUCUGCUCCGGUUUCGUAAAUAUCAGUGGGUUUUGGAUCUAAAACAAAAAGGCAAGACCCUCAUCAGACGCCGGUACAGGUAGUACAAAAGCCUUAUCACACAUACACACCACACUGAAAUAGAAAACCUAAAUCUUAGCACAGAAAGAAUUUACAUGACCCUUGACCUUGAGGUUGAUGUGAGCUCCUCCGAGUCUGUAUAAGCAAAUUUGUGUGAGAGAGAACGGAAAAGGAUUCAGGCGAUGGGCAAAGUGAGUGAUGGCUGAGAGAUUGUAAAUAAAUAAAGGAUUGAUGAACCUCCAAAUGGUCGUAGGGUAUCUCAGACGGUUGAUGCCCUUCUUCGACACAAAGUGAUUGCUCCAUCCUGUAACAAAGCAAAAAUUCACAGCCAACAUCAUUCUAAAAACAGCUCUUAAAACAAUUGUUAAUCACCAAUUUUGAUAUUUAGAUCGAUGCCUACUAAUCUCAAACCAAUACCCAGCAUCUCCAUUGAACAACUCUUCUUAGUUUCACAAACACACAAAAUCACAGUGUACAUCUCUAGUUCAAUCUUUAACAAUCUUUAGAUCAAUACAUA
RNAcentral lists this long non-coding RNA (920 nucleotides) under Brassica rapa (field mustard). RNAcentral's name for it is "long non-coding RNA (BRAP_LNC003734)". The record is from RNAcentral. Lineage: Eukaryota; Viridiplantae; Streptophyta; Magnoliopsida; Brassicales; Brassicaceae.